CAACUUUCAGCAACGGAUCUCUUGGCUCUCGCAUCGAUGAAGAACGCAGCGAAAUGCGAUAAGUAAUGUGAAUUGCAGAAUUCAGUGAGUCAUCGAAUCUUUGAACGCACCUUGCGCCCUUUGGCUAUUCCGAAGGGCAUGCCUGUUUGAGUAUCA
Molecule: ribosomal RNA, 156 nt
Filed under: uncultured Tomentella
Lineage: Eukaryota; Fungi; Basidiomycota; Agaricomycetes; Thelephorales; Thelephoraceae
Description: 5.8S ribosomal RNA
Rfam family: 5.8S ribosomal RNA
About the family: 5.8S ribosomal RNA (5.8S rRNA) is a component of the large subunit of the eukaryotic ribosome. It is transcribed by RNA polymerase I as part of the 45S precursor that also contains 18S and 28S rRNA.
Source: RNAcentral